UACGUAGGGGGCUAGCGUUGUCCGGAAUCAUUGGGCGUAAAGCGCGUGUAGGCGGCUUCGUAAGUCCGUUGUGAAAGUCCAGGGCUCAACCCUGGAAUGCCGAUGGAUACUGCGGAGCUAGAGUCCGGAAGAGGCGAGUGGAAUUCCUGGUGUAGCGGUGAAAUGCGCAGAUAUCAGGAGGAACACCAAUGGCGAAGGCAGCUCGCUGGGACGGUACUGACGCUGAGACGCGAAAGCGUGGGGAGCAAACAGG
RNAcentral lists this ribosomal RNA (253 nucleotides) under uncultured bacterium. RNAcentral describes it as "partial 16S ribosomal RNA". It matches the Rfam family "Bacterial small subunit ribosomal RNA", at positions 524 to 776 of the family's 1533-position model. The record is from RNAcentral.